UGUGUGCAGACAUGAGACCAAGUCCU
Molecule: non-coding RNA, 26 nt
Filed under: Mus musculus (house mouse)
Lineage: Eukaryota; Metazoa; Chordata; Mammalia; Rodentia; Muridae
Also listed under: 1 other name
Source: RNAcentral